Molecule: small nuclear RNA, 105 nt
Organism: Myodes glareolus (Bank vole)
Lineage: Eukaryota; Metazoa; Chordata; Mammalia; Rodentia; Cricetidae
Source: RefSeq, a predicted model, not a curated record
GUGCUCGCUUCGGCAGAACAUUUACUAAAAUUGAAACGAUAUGGAAGAUUAGCAUGGCCCCUGCACAAGGGUGACACGCAAAUUCAUGAAGUGUUCCAUGUUUUU